AAAUUGAAGAGUUUGAUCAUGGCUCAGAUUGAACGCUGGCGGCAGGCCUAACACAUGCAAGUCGAACGGUAACAGGAAGAAGCUUGCUUCUUUGCUGACGAGUGGCGGACGGGUGAGUAAUGUCUGGGAAACUGCCUGAUGGAGGGGGAUAACUACUGGAAACGGUAGCUAAUACCGCAUAACGUCGC
RNAcentral lists this ribosomal RNA (188 nucleotides) under Escherichia coli. RNAcentral describes it as "partial 16S ribosomal RNA". It matches the Rfam family "Bacterial small subunit ribosomal RNA", at positions 1 to 182 of the family's 1533-position model. Lineage: Bacteria; Pseudomonadati; Pseudomonadota; Gammaproteobacteria; Enterobacterales; Enterobacteriaceae. RNAcentral also lists the same sequence under 1 other name. The record is from RNAcentral.